GACGAACGCUGGCGGCGUGCUUAAUACAUGCCAGUCGAACGGACAUGCUCGAGCUUUCUGGAGUGGAUCAGUGGCGAACGGGUGAGUAACACGUGAGCAACCUGCCCCUGACUCUGGAAGAUGCGCUGGAAACGGCGUCUAAUAUUGGAGACGAAACUGGCCCGCAUGUGCAUGGUUUGGAAAGUUCUUCGGUUUGGGAUGGUCUCGCGGCCUAUCAGCUGGUUUGUGAGGUAAUUGCUCACCAAGGCUACGACGGGUAGCCUGCCCGAGAGGGCGACCGGCCACCAUGCGACUGAGACACGGACCAGACUCCUACGGGAGGCAACAGUGGAGAAUCUUACAGAGUGGCCGCGCGCCUGAUGCAGCGACGCCGCGUGCGGGAUGCCCGCCUACGAGUUGUAAACCUCUUUCAGCAGGGAAGAAGCGAAAGUGACGGUACCUGCAGAAGAAGCCCCGGCUAACUACGUG
This 468-nucleotide ribosomal RNA is filed under the name uncultured bacterium. RNAcentral describes it as "partial 16S ribosomal RNA". It matches the Rfam family "Bacterial small subunit ribosomal RNA", at positions 28 to 507 of the family's 1533-position model. The record is from RNAcentral.